Molecule: long non-coding RNA, 803 nt
Organism: Pieris rapae (cabbage white)
Lineage: Eukaryota; Metazoa; Arthropoda; Insecta; Lepidoptera; Pieridae
Exons: 2
Source: RefSeq, a predicted model, not a curated record
AUAGAAGUAAUUAUUAUUCUAAGAGUAAUUAUAAGAAAAGUGAUGAGGUGACACAGAAUGACAAGACCAGGCAUAACCAAGUUGUUUAAUGGAUUCAAGUGGAAAAAAUAAGCUGAAAUUCAUAAGUUUCAACUGUAAAUCUGUGACUCGGUCGGUGGACGGCAUCAGGGAUUUAUGUCAAAACGCAGAUAUAGUGGCACUUCAAGAAACUUGGUUGAUGCCACAUGAUAUUCCGUUCCUGGGCAGUAUUCACGAAGAUUUUGAAUACACGGGAAAGUCUGCAGUGGAUACUAGUGCGGGUAUUGUGCGAGGUAGGCCGUAUGGUGGUGUCGCUAUUCUCUGGCGUAAAAGCUUAUGUCCAUCUGUGUCAGUGAUUCAGUGUAAAAGCGAUCGUCUAGCGGCCAUAAAAUUAGUGUUACCUGAGCAUUCGCUUCUAGUGUUUUCGGUAUAUAUGCCUACGGACUCGGCUGAAAAUCUUAUUGAGUAUACCGAAUGCCUAGGUGAGAUUGCUGCUAUUGUGGAGGAUGCUGCUGGGGCUGCCGCGUUUUUGUAGCGCAUCAGGCAUGUUUGCGGAAGCGCGAAUAGAUGAUUUUCCAUCUAUAAUUCGUAAACGAGUGGCGUCUCUGAUGUGCCGUGUGAGUGGCAGUGCGAGCAGCAUUCUGCAAGUUGUCGCUCAAAGAAUGGACGGUUCGAUUCUCAAGCAUUGGAUCUCAUCUCAUGUUAUGGCGUCGAACCGCUGUGCUAAGUAGUUUUAAUUUAUAAUUAAAAUAUGGGAUAUGGUUGAACAUAAAUUUUUAAUUAAU